Molecule: unclassified non-coding RNA, 488 nt
Filed under: Zanthoxylum bungeanum
Lineage: Eukaryota; Viridiplantae; Streptophyta; Magnoliopsida; Sapindales; Rutaceae
Description: partial external transcribed spacer
Source: RNAcentral
CUCUCUGGCAGGCUCUGUGCUCGUGCAUCGACUGUCGGCGCCCCAUCCGCUUCAGUCUUGCCCCAAGCGCAGCUAUUGGCUUGCGGGUGCCAAAGGUAUCCUGUGUUGCUUACCCGCGGAAAGGAAUUCGAUGGUUUUGGUGUCCCCAUCCGCCUUGUGCCCUUCGGGGUGCGGGGUGGACGCGAGGCGGGCUCCGUGUUCCCCGCGCGUUGAGUGUGUUGACACUUGACCGCUGUGGCCCAUGGGGUCUCGACCCGUGCUCUCGGAUGCGGAAUGUUGUGUGUGGGCGUGGGGUCUCGGCCUCUACUCGUCCAAGCUACACGCAUUGUCCCUUAACAUGAACGACCGUCGCGCCCGUCUUGAUCGACUGACCGAGCCCCUAUUGUGGGUUUUCGGGAUGGCGGCUCAUGCGGGUGUCGGCGUCGGAGAGGAAUGCUACCUGGUUGAUCCUGCCAGUAGUCAUUGGCCUUGUCUAAAACGCCCUACGC